GGGGAAUCUUGCGCAAUGGCGGAAAGGCUGACGCAGCGACGCCGCGUGAGGGAUGACGGUCUUCGGAUUGUAAACCUCUGUUGCCCGGGACGAACACACCCUUUCGAGGGUGCUGACGGUACCGGGUGAGGAAGCACCGGCUAACUCUGUGCCCGCAGCCGCGGUAAUACAGAGGGUGCGAGCGUUGUCCGGAAUCACUGGGCGUAAAGGGCGCGUAGGCGGUCUGGUAAGCGUGCGGUGAAAGCCCGGGGCUCAACCCCGGGUCGGCCGUGCGAACUGCUGGACUGGAGCUUGUCAGAGGCAGGCGGAAUUCCGGGUGUAGCGGUGGAAUGCGUAGAGAUCCGGAAGAACACCGGUGGCGAAGGCGGCCUGCUGGGACAGUGCUGACGCUGAGGCGCGACAGCGUGGGGAGCAAAC
RNAcentral lists this ribosomal RNA (417 nucleotides) under uncultured bacterium. RNAcentral describes it as "bacterial SSU rRNA". It matches the Rfam family "Bacterial small subunit ribosomal RNA", at positions 356 to 773 of the family's 1533-position model. The record is from RNAcentral.